CGAACGCUGGCGGCGUGCUUAACACAUGCAAGUCGAACGCGAAAGGGACUUCGGUCCUGAGUAAAGUGGCGCACGGGUGAGUAACGCGUAGAUAACCUGUCUUCAUGUCUGGAAUAAUACGCCGAAAGGGGUACUAAUACCGGAUAUUCUUGCUUUUCAUAAGUUAUGCAAGCAAAGGUGGCCUCUGCAUAUGCUACUGCAUGAAGAGGGGUCUGCGUACCAUUAGCUAGUAGGUGGGGUAAUGGCCUACCUAGGCGACGAUGGUUAGCGGGUCUGAGAGGAUGAUCCGCCACACUGGCACUGGAACACGGGCCAGACUCCUACGGGAGGCAGCAGUGAGGAAUAUUGCGCAAUGGGGGAAACCCUGACGCAGCGACGCCGCGUGAGUGAAGGGAGGCCUUCGGGUCGUAAAGCUCUGUCAAGAGGAAAGAAGUGUACAAUGGCUAAUACCUGUUGUAUUUGACGGUACCUCUAAAGGAAGCACCGGCUAACUCCGUGCCAGCCGCAGC
RNAcentral lists this ribosomal RNA (509 nucleotides) under uncultured bacterium. Its description in RNAcentral is "bacterial SSU rRNA". It matches the Rfam family "Bacterial small subunit ribosomal RNA", at positions 30 to 518 of the family's 1533-position model. The record is from RNAcentral.